CUUCUUAAAUAUAUAUGUACAAAAACAUUACAUGGUAGUAUUCAUGUCUUAACCAGUUAAGCCCCAAUCCUGUUUUUCAGGCCUCAGGCUCGAAAAUGACAAUAGCCGCGUUCACACCAAGUACUUUGCCACCCCAGGACACUAAGUACAGAUCACGUUCACACCGGAAUAAGUUCCCUGAGGGAAGAUUAUGCAAAUGAGCCGCUGACGUCACUUCGUCUUCUUCUACUUUGGGUUUAACUGGCAGGCCACAAACCACUUCACGGCGAGUACAGUAGGUGGCGGUAUGCACCUUAAAGUUGUUUGCAAUCCGCUAAAAAACCAAGAGAAGAAAAACUUCCAGCGUAUACUGCCACGCCCACCCACCCGCUGUAUGUGUCUGUUUACCUUCCGACCUCAGACAUGAUGGAGAUGGAGUCGACAUAAGUUGUGCUGUUUGUGCUCAUGUUAUUCAGCUUUGUAACUGAGUUAUUGCAGCCUGAGCCAACUACGCCUUCGACACAAAUCCGGAGCCGCCACCCGUCGAAUGCUAUAAUCGCAAAGCUGCUUCAGCAUCAAAUGCGGUUAAAAAGCCUUAAGAAAAGGAUUGGACGACGAAAAGCACGCAGUAUGGCCAUGUUUCACCGUAGGAUGGCUGAUGACGAUGAGCGUUUUCACGCCCUAAGAACAGCAAUGAUGUCCAGCUGCUGGUGGUGGUUAAAGAAGAGCUUCUCCCUGACCAGCAGGAGUGGAGCACCAGUCUGGACCAGGAGGACCCAGAGCCCCCCCCAAACAUUAAGCAGGAAGGGGAGGAACUCGGGAUCAGUCAGGAGGGAGAGCAGCUUCAGGAGCUGGAGGAGGCUGAUAUCACCAAGUCCACUUUCACUCCUGACCCUGUGAAGAGUGAAGAUGAUAAAGAGAAACCUCAGUCAUCACAGCCUCAUCAAAGACAAACUGAACACAUGGAAACAGAAGCUGAUGGAGAUGACUGUCGAGGACCAGAACCAGCCAGGAACUCAGAUCCAGAGAGCAGUUUACAACCAAAGACUGAGGACCACACUGGAGACUCUUCUGAACCUGACACUGAAGACAGUGCUGAUUGGAAGGAGACCAGAGAACCUGCGUCAGGCUCAAACUCACUGAAAAAUAGACAAGAAUCUGUCAGUGAUCCAAGAGGUAGUGCUGGAAAGAAACCAUUUGGCUGCUCAGUCUGUAAGAAAGCUUUUUCACAGAGUGGAAAUUUAAAUCGACACAUGACAAUCCACACAGGAGAGAAACCAUUUAGCUGCUCAGUUUGUACCAAAUAUUUUGCAUUGAGUGGACAUUUAAAGGCACACAUGAGAAUCCACACAGGAGAGAAACCAUUCAGCUGCUCAGUCUGUAAGAAAGCUUUUUCACAGAGUGGAAGUGUAAAGGCACACAUGAGGGUCCACACAGGAGAGAAACCAUACAGCUGCAAAGUUUGUGACAAAAUAUUUAAAUGGCGUAAUCAUUUCAAAACACACAAGUGUGUUGGUCGUCAGUCCUCACAGCUUAAUGAAAUUCAAACUGAGGAUAACGGAGAGGCAGAGCCUCCAAUCAGCAGCUCAGCUGAACACAUGGAAACAGAAGCUGAUGGAGAGGACAAUGAAUAUGGUUUUCAAUUCUGACAGAAACGUCCCAGGUAGGCGGGACUUUCAGCGGUGCGUCCCCAUUGGAUACUCAGUUUUUGAGUGACAGUCCAGUCCUCCAGCGAUUGUACAGUGCAGCUGCGGCAGUUGAGCAUGGACAGAAGACCCCCAGGAGAGCCUGCAUUUCAAUUAUUAUAAUACUACAAGUGAAAAUAUAAGUAUUGAUCAUUUGUGUUGUUUGUGCUGUACUAUACGGUCUGUUUCUUUUUUGUGUUAAGUGAUAAGUAAAGAAAAUAUGUGCUAUGAAAGUUAGCUUUUGCUACUAUUGCGGCAGUGAUCUUCCAAACAAUGCCGCGAGGCACUAAACAAGAGAAAAACAUUGUGGACGCGCAAAAAACUCAGUCUUUCCAGCAGUAUGCGUUUGACCUUUUAUUUCCAAAGCAAAACCAUAUGCAUAGGCCUAUAUUCCUUUACGCGUGCGUGCGUGCGGUCAACAAAAAUUGUCCUUCUCCAGCUCACUCCCCCUCCAUCUAUUACAAAGUGCGCAGGUAAAAGCAACCGGGUAUAACCACAAACGUCACCACACAAAUCCACUCAAAAAACAUGUAUCGUAACAAACACAGUAAAAUACUUCAAAUGUGGCUCCUACAGCAGCUACCUUUAGAUCCAUAACAAUGCAAGCUAAGUAGCAGGGACAGUUAGCCACAUAGCUAGCAGUGAGUGAGCAUUCAGACACCGGCGCACACACUCAAACGGACUUGUGUGCCUGACUCUACCAACAGGCUUUCAUGAUUCUGUUUAGAUAUGCAAGUAUAAGCCACGUUAGCUUAUUUUAUUAACACACUAAUUUUAUAUGAAAAUCAAUGGAGGCUGAGUUAACUUUGUAGGAAAACCUACCUUCCCUGAUGCCCCUGAGCUGAGUUUUAGUUGUUAACUUCAUAUUUUUCAUUUCCUAAAUCAUUAAUGUUCCUCUCUUAAAAGUGUGGAUCAUUGAGACAGCAUGGUGUCCAGAGUCUUAUCCCGUUUUCCCACUUCCUCUGAGGGGACAGCAUUAGAUCCUAGGAGGGGGGGGCAUGAAGAAAGACCUGCACCAUCUUCAUCCACGCGUUGCUGUUAUCACUUGCUCAGUGUCAUUUUCAUUCAUGUCUUUACAUAUACAUUUAAUAGAUUUUAUUAUUAUCCACCUUUUAGUUUAAUGU
Gymnodraco acuticeps is the source of this 2788-nucleotide RNA transcript. It is a transcript of the gene named zinc finger and SCAN domain-containing protein 2-like, with no coding region annotated. Lineage: Eukaryota; Metazoa; Chordata; Actinopteri; Perciformes; Bathydraconidae. The record is from RefSeq and is a predicted model, not a curated record. The transcript has 2 exons.